AUUCAUGGCAAGCAUUUGUUCUAGCGCCUAAAGGUGAUUGGUAUAUUGCCAAGAUUCCUCUUGAUCGAUAUUUACCAACAUGGAGAGGGAAUGUAAUAGAUUCAGAGUUGGAAAUGAACCCAUCUCGUAUUGUUGGCAUGUCUUUAUCGGUUAAUGCUGCUGCUGGCGUUCCUGGUGCUAAAUCUGGGCCCGGUGACUUUAAAGUGG
Molecule: unclassified non-coding RNA, 207 nt
Filed under: Hevea brasiliensis (rubber tree)
Lineage: Eukaryota; Viridiplantae; Streptophyta; Magnoliopsida; Malpighiales; Euphorbiaceae
Source: RNAcentral